This 484-nucleotide ribosomal RNA is filed under the name uncultured bacterium. RNAcentral describes it as "partial 16S ribosomal RNA". It matches the Rfam family "Bacterial small subunit ribosomal RNA", at positions 29 to 507 of the family's 1533-position model. The record is from RNAcentral.
AUUGAACGCUGGCGGCAUGCUUUACACAUGCAAGUCGAACGGCAGCGCGGGCUUCAGCCUGGCGGCGAGUGGCGAACGGGUGAGGAAUUCAUCGGAACGUGCCCAUUAGUGGGGGAUAACCCGGCGAAACCCGGACUAAUACCGCAUACGACCUGCGGGUGAAAGCGGGGGACCGAAAGGCCUCACGCUGAUUGAUCGGCCGAUGUCCGAUUAGCUAGUUGGUGCGGUAAAGGCUUACCAAGGCGACGAUCCGUAGCUGGUCUGAGAGGACGACCAGCCACACUGGGACUGAGACACGGCCCAGACUCCUACGGGAGGCAGCAGUGGGGAAUUUUGGACAAAGGGGGCAAGCCUGAUCCAGCCAUGCCGCGUGCGGGAAGAAGGCCUUCGGGUUGUAAAGCGCUUUUGUUCGGGAAGAAAUCCUUUGGGCUAAUACCCUGGGGGGAUGACGGUACCGGAAGAAUAAGCACCGGCUAACUACGUG